Molecule: ribosomal RNA, 467 nt
Filed under: uncultured bacterium
Lineage: Bacteria
Description: partial 16S ribosomal RNA
Rfam family: Bacterial small subunit ribosomal RNA
Source: RNAcentral
GACGAACGCUGGCGGCGUGCUUAACACAUGCAAGUCGAACGGAAAGACCCUGCUUUUGUGGGGUGCUCGAGUGGCGAACGGGUGAGUAACACGUGAGUAACCUGCCCUUGACUUUGGGAUAACUUCAGGAAACUGGGGCUAAUACCGGAUAGGAGCUCCUGCUGCAUGGUGGGGGUUGGAAAGUUUCGGCGGUUGGGGAUGGACUCGCGGCUUAUCAGCUUGUUGGUGGGGUAGUGGCUUACCAAGGCUUUGACGGGUAGCCGGCCUGAGAGGGUGACCGGCCACAUUGGGACUGAGAUACGGCCCAGACUCCUACGGGAGGCAGCAGUGGGGAAUAUUGCACAAUGGGCGGAAGCCUGAUGCAGCAACGCCGCGUGCGGGAUGACGGCCUUCGGGUUGUAACCGCUUUCGCCUGUGACGAAGCGUGAGUGACGGUAAUGGGUAAAGAAGCACCGGCUAACUACGUG